AUUGAACGCUGGCGGUAUGCUUAACACAUGCAAGUCGAACGGUAGCAGGGCCUUCGGGCGCUGACGAGUGGCGGACGGGUGAGUAACGCGUAGGAAUCUGCCUCAUAGUGGGGGACAACGUGGGGAAACUCACGCUAAUACCGCAUACGCCCUACGGGGGAAAGCGGGGGAUCUUCGGACCUCGCGCUAUGAGAUGAGCCUGCGUUAGAUUAGCUAGUUGGUAGGGUAAAGGCCUACCAAGGCGACGAUCUAUAGCUGGUCUGAGAGGACGAUCAGCCACACUGGGACUGAGACACGGCCCAGACUCCUACGGGAGGCAGCAGUGGGGAAUAUUGGACAAUGGGCGCAAGCCUGAUCCAGCAAUACCGCGUGUGUGAAGAAGGCCUUAGGGUUGUAAAGCACUUUCAAUUGGGAGGAAAACCUGUCGGUCAAUACCCGGC
This 440-nucleotide ribosomal RNA is filed under the name uncultured bacterium. Its description in RNAcentral is "bacterial SSU rRNA". It matches the Rfam family "Bacterial small subunit ribosomal RNA", at positions 30 to 468 of the family's 1533-position model. The record is from RNAcentral.